RNAcentral lists this ribosomal RNA (303 nucleotides) under uncultured bacterium. RNAcentral's name for it is "partial 16S ribosomal RNA". It matches the Rfam family "Bacterial small subunit ribosomal RNA", at positions 507 to 807 of the family's 1533-position model. The record is from RNAcentral.
AGCAGUAGCCGCGGUAAUACGGAGGGGGCUAGCGUUGUUCGGAAUUACUGGUCGUAAAGCGCACGUAGGCGGCUUGGUAAGUUAGAGGUGAAAGCCUGGAGCUCAACUCCAGAAUUGCCUUUAAGACUGCCGAGCUAGCAGGUGAGAGAGGUAAGUGGAAUUCCGAGUGUAGAGGUGAAAUUCGUAGAUAUUCGGAAGAACACCAGUGGCGAAGGCGGCUUACUGGCUCAUACUGGACGCUGAGGUGCGAAAGCGUGGGGAGCAAACAGGAUUAGAUACCCCCGUAGUCCCUGUCUCUUAUAC